RNAcentral lists this ribosomal RNA (375 nucleotides) under uncultured Syntrophomonas sp. RNAcentral describes it as "bacterial SSU rRNA". It matches the Rfam family "Bacterial small subunit ribosomal RNA", at positions 1009 to 1382 of the family's 1533-position model. The record is from RNAcentral. Lineage: Bacteria; Bacillati; Bacillota; Clostridia; Eubacteriales; Syntrophomonadaceae.
AAGGAGUGCCUUCGGGAGCGUUGAGACAGGUGGUGCAUGGUUUGUCGUCAGCUCGUGUCGUGAGAUGUUGGGUUAAGUCCCGCAACGAGCGCAACCCUUGCUAUUAGUUGCUAACAGGUUAAGCUGAGCACUCUAAUGGGACUGCCGGUGACAAGCCGGAGGAAGGUGGGGAUGACGUCAAAUCAUCAUGCCCUUUAUGACCUGGGCUACACACGUGCUACAAUGGAUGGUACAGAGAGCAGCGAGGCAGCGAUGUGGAGCGAAUCUCAAAAAGCCAUUCUCAGUUCGGAUUGGAGUCUGCAACUCGACUCCAUGAAGUCGGAAUCGCUAGUAAUCGCGAACCAGCAUGUCGCGGUGAAUGCGUUCCCGGGCCUU